CAUGACCUCAGAUCAGACGG
This 20-nucleotide ribosomal RNA is filed under the name Allium pentadactyli. Its description in RNAcentral is "partial large subunit ribosomal RNA". Lineage: Eukaryota; Viridiplantae; Streptophyta; Magnoliopsida; Asparagales; Amaryllidaceae. The record is from RNAcentral.